GGUGGGGCUGCUUCUUGACUUCCGCGCCUAGUGCGCAGGGCCCCAUUCUCCAGUCCCGCCCACGCGCCUUUGGAGGCUGCGGUGGGAUUUCCUUUUGCCUUCGGUUGGGGCUGCUGUUUCUCUUCGCCGACGGUGCCUUCAGCCGCUACAAGAGCAGAAGCAGUGGGCAUUGGAUGGAGCUGAGUACAGGACCAUACAGGCUAAUUGCACCGGCACAGGAAUCGGAUAUAACAUCAUCUGGGUACCCAUGGCCAGCUGUGACUUCUCCAUCCGCACCUACACCUAUGCAGACACCCCUGAUGAUUUCCAGUUGCACAACUUCAGCCUCCCAGAGGAAGAUACCAAGCUCAAGAUACCCCUGAUUCACCGAGCCCUGCAGUUGGCCCAGCGUCCCGUUUCACUCCUUGCCAGCCCCUGGACAUCACCCACUCGGCUCAAGACCAGGGGAGCGGGGAAUGGGAAGGGGCCACUCAAGGGACAGCCCAGAGACAUCUACCACCAGACCUGGGCCAGAUACAUUGUGAAGUUCCUGGAUGCCUAUGCUGAGCACAAGUUACAGUUCUGGGCAGUGACAGCUGAAAAUGAGCCUUCUGCUGGGCUGUUGAGUGGAUACCCCUUCCAGUGCCUGGGCUUCACCCCUGAACAUCAGCGAGACUUCAUUGCCCGUGACCUAGGUCCUACCCUUGCCAACGGUACUCACCACAAUGUCCGCCUACUCAUGCUGGAUGACCAACGCUUGCUGCUGCCCCACUGGGCAAAGGUGGUACUGACAGACCCAGAAGCAGCUAAGUAUGUUCAUGGUAUUGCUGUACAUUGGUACCUGGACUUUCUGGCUCCAGCCAAAGCCACCCUAAGGGAGACACACCACCUGUUCCCCAACACCAUGCUCUUUGCCUCAGAGGCCUGUGUGGGUUCCAAGUUCUGGGAGCAGAGUGUGCGGCUAGGCUCCUGGGAUCGAGGGAUGCAGUACAGCCACAGCAUCAUCACAAACCUCCUGUACCAUGUGGUCGGCUGGACCGACUGGAACCCAUCAUUGUAGACAUCACCAAGCACACGUUUUACAAACAGCCCAUGUUCUACCACCUUGGCCACUUCAGCAAGUUCAUUCCUGAGGGCUCCCAGAGAGUGGGGCUGGUUGCCAGUCAGAAGAACGACCCGGACGCAGUGGCACUGAUGCAUCCCGAUGGCUCUGCUGUUGUGGUCGUGCUAAACCGCUCCUCUAAGGAUGUGCCUCUUACCAUCAAGGAUCCUGCUGUGGGCUUCCUGGAGACAAUCUCACCUGGCUACUCCAUUCACACCUACCUGUGGCGUCGCCAGUGAUGGAGCAGAUACUCAAGGAGGCACUGGGCUCAGCCUGGGCAUUAAAGGGACAGAGUCAGCUCACACGCUGUCUGUGACUAAAGAGGGCACAGCAGGGCCAGUGUGAGCUUACAGCGACGUAAGCCCAGGGGCAAUGGUUUGGGUGACUCACUUUCCCCUCUAGGUGGUGCCAGGGGCUGGAGGCCCCUAGAAAAAGAUCAGUAAGCCCCAGUGUCCCCCCAGCCCCCAUGCUUAUGUGAACAUGCGCUGUGUGCUGCUUGCUUUGGAAACUGGGCCUGGGUCCAGGCCUAGGGUGAGCUCACUGUCCGUACAAACACAAGAUCAGGGCUGAGGGUAAGGAAAAGAAGAGACUAGGAAAGCUGGGCCCAAAACUGGAGACUGUUUGUCUUUCCUGGAGAUGCAGAACUGGGCCCGUGGAGCAGCAGUGUCAGCAUCAGGGCGGAAGCCUUAAAGCAGCAGCGGGUGUGCCCAGGCACCCAGAUGAUUCCUAUGGCACCAGCCAGGAAAAAUGGCAGCUCUUAAAGGAGAAAAUGUUUGAGCCCA
Long non-coding RNA from Homo sapiens (human), 1863 nucleotides. Ensembl annotates it as glucosylceramidase beta 1 like, pseudogene. Its record names the gene GBA1LP. The record is from Ensembl. NCBI's taxonomy places the organism in Eukaryota, Metazoa, Chordata, Mammalia, Primates, Hominidae.